Molecule: ribosomal RNA, 706 nt
Filed under: uncultured organism
Description: bacterial SSU rRNA
Rfam family: Bacterial small subunit ribosomal RNA
Source: RNAcentral
GAUAUGUAGAGGUACUCCAGAGGGGGAAAGCGAGGCAGUGGAGCAUCUCGGACGCUGAGACGGGAAUGCGAGGGGAGCAAACGGACUAAGAUACCGCGGUAGUCCACGCAGUAACAUAUGCACACUGGAUCAGGCGAUUCUGACCUUCGCCGAGUGGUAGCGACAGCGUUAAGUGUGUCACGAGGAGCAUACGGCCGCACAGUUAAUACUCAAAGGAAUGGACGGGGGCUCACACAAGCGGAGGAGCAUGUGGUUUAAUUUGAAGCAACGCGAAGAACCUUACCCAGGUCUCACAUGUUUGGAUGCAAUCCGGGGAUAACUCGGUGCGCUGCCCUUCUGGGUGAAACUUGCACAGGUGUGGCAUGGCUGUCGUCAGCUCGUCAUGUGAAGUGUUGGGUUAAGUCCUUUUACGACAGAAACCCCUAUUGUUAGUGGCCAGCGCGCGAUGGCGGGGAUUCUAGCGAGAAGGCCGGCGUUAAGCCGGAGGAAGGUGGGGAGGACGUCAAGUCAUCAUGGCCCUUAUGCUCGGGGAUGCACUCUUGCUACAAUGGAGUAUACAGAUCGACGCAAGACCGAGAGGAGGAGCAAAUCUCACAAAGUACGCCUCAGUUGGGAUUGGAGUUUGCAACUGGACUCCAUGAAGUGGGAAUCGGUGGUAAUCGGAAAUCAGCUGAGACACGGGGAAUGUGUUCGUGACCCUUGUACA